AACAGUGUGGCAUAGUGGUUUAAGUGUUGGAUUGUGACUCUGGAGACCAGGGUUCAAAUCCUUGCUCAGCCA
Molecule: non-coding RNA, 72 nt
Organism: Phrynosoma platyrhinos (Desert horned lizard)
Lineage: Eukaryota; Metazoa; Chordata; Lepidosauria; Squamata; Phrynosomatidae
Source: the annotation of a GenBank genome assembly